This 73-nucleotide transfer RNA is filed under the name Ipomoea nil (Japanese morning glory). It matches the Rfam family "tRNA". From Rfam's summary of the family: Transfer RNA (tRNA) molecules are approximately 80 nucleotides in length. The record is from Rfam by way of RNAcentral. Lineage: Eukaryota; Viridiplantae; Streptophyta; Magnoliopsida; Solanales; Convolvulaceae.
ACACGUUUAGCUCAGUCGAUAGAGCGCAAGGCUCUUAACCUUGUGGUCCUGGAUUCAAGUCCCAGGGUGGGCA